UACGUAGGGAGCGAGCGUUAUCAGGAUUUACUGGGUGUAAAGGGUGCCUAGGCGGUUUGUUAAGUCAGAAGUGAAAUUUAGGGGCUCAACCUCUAAGCUGCUUCUGAAACUGAUGAACUAGAGUGUGGGAGAGGAAAGUGGAAUUCCGAGUGUAGCGGUGAAAUGCGUAGAGAUUCGGAGGAACACCAGUAGCGAAGGCGGCUUUCGGGACCAUAACUGACGGUGAGGCACGAAAGCGUGGGGAGCAAACUGG
This 253-nucleotide ribosomal RNA is filed under the name uncultured bacterium. RNAcentral's name for it is "partial 16S ribosomal RNA". It matches the Rfam family "Bacterial small subunit ribosomal RNA", at positions 524 to 776 of the family's 1533-position model. The record is from RNAcentral.